Molecule: non-coding RNA, 72 nt
Organism: Salmo salar (Atlantic salmon)
Lineage: Eukaryota; Metazoa; Chordata; Actinopteri; Salmoniformes; Salmonidae
Source: Rfam
UCCCAUGUGGCUCAGUUGGCAGAGCAUGGAGCUUGCAACACCAGGGUUGUGGGAUCAAUUCCCACGGGGGAC